Molecule: ribosomal RNA, 492 nt
Filed under: uncultured bacterium
Lineage: Bacteria
Description: partial 16S ribosomal RNA
Rfam family: Bacterial small subunit ribosomal RNA
Source: RNAcentral
AGUGAACGCUGGCGGUAGGCCUAACACAUGCAAGUCGAAUGGCAGCACAGUAAGAGCUUGCUCUUACGGGUGGUGAGUGGCGGACGGGUGAGGAAUACAUCGGAAUCUACUUUUUCGUGGGGGAUAACGUAGGGAAACUUACGCUAAUACCGCAUACGACCUACGGGUGAAAGCAGGGGAUCUUCGGACCUUGCGCGAUUGAAUGAGCCGAUGUCGGAUUAGCUAGUUGGCGGGGUAAAGGCCCACCAAGGCGACGAUCCGUAGCUGGUCUGAGAGGAUGAUCAGCCACACUGGAACUGAGACACGGUCCAGACUCCUACGGGAGGCAGCAGUGGGGAAUAUUGGACAAUGGGCGCAAGCCUGAUCCAGCCAUACCGCGUGGGUGAAGAAGGCCUUCGGGUUGUAAAGCCCUUUUGUUGGGAAAGAAAAGCAGCAGGUUAAUACCCCGCUGUUCUGACGGUACCCAAAGAAUAAGCACCGGCUAACUUCGUG